Molecule: transfer RNA, 67 nt
Filed under: Marmota monax (woodchuck)
Lineage: Eukaryota; Metazoa; Chordata; Mammalia; Rodentia; Sciuridae
Description: tRNA.Ala
Source: RNAcentral
GGUUGUAGCUCAGUGGUGGAGCUCUUGCCUUGCACUUGUGAGGCACUGGGUUCAAUCCUCAGCACCA